UACGUAGGGUGCAAGCGUUAAUCGGAAUUACUGGGCGUAAGGCGUGCGCAGGCGGCUUUGCAAGUCAGAUGUGAAAUCCCCGGGCUUAACCUGGGAACUGCAUUUGUGACUGCAUGGCUAGAGUGCGGCAGAGGGGGAUGGAAUUCCGCGUGUAGCAGUGAAAUGCGUAGAUAUGCGGAGGAACACCGAUGGCGAAGGCAAUCCCCUGGGCCUGCACUGACGCUCAUGCACGAAAGCGUGGGGAGCAAACAGG
RNAcentral lists this ribosomal RNA (253 nucleotides) under uncultured bacterium. RNAcentral describes it as "partial 16S ribosomal RNA". It matches the Rfam family "Bacterial small subunit ribosomal RNA", at positions 524 to 776 of the family's 1533-position model. The record is from RNAcentral.